RNAcentral lists this ribosomal RNA (492 nucleotides) under uncultured bacterium. RNAcentral describes it as "partial 16S ribosomal RNA". It matches the Rfam family "Bacterial small subunit ribosomal RNA", at positions 29 to 507 of the family's 1533-position model. The record is from RNAcentral.
AGUGAACGCUGGCGGUAGGCCUAACACAUGCAAGUCGAACGGCAGCACAGUAAGAGCUUGCUCUUACGGGUGGCGAGUGGCGGACGGGUGAGGAAUACAUCGGAAUCUACUUUUUCGUGGGGGAUAACGUAGGGAAACUUACGCUAAUACCGCAUACGACCUACGGGUGAAAGCAGGGGAUCUUCGGACCUUGCGCGAUUGAAUGAGCCGAUGUCGGAUUAGCUAGUUGGCGGGGUAAAGGCCCACCAAGGCGACGAUCCGUAGCUGGUCUGAGAGGAUGAUCAGCCACACUGGAACUGAGACACGGUCCAGACUCCUACGGGGGGCAGCAGUGGGGAAUAUUGGACAAUGGGCGCAAGCCUGAUCCAGCCAUACCGCGUGGGUGAAGAAGGCCUUCGGGUUGUAAAGCCCUUUUGUUGGGAAGGAAAAGCAGCAGGUUAAUACCCCGCUGUUCUGACGGUACCCAAAGAAUAAGCACCGGCUAACUUCGUG